This 495-nucleotide ribosomal RNA is filed under the name uncultured bacterium. RNAcentral describes it as "bacterial SSU rRNA". It matches the Rfam family "Bacterial small subunit ribosomal RNA", at positions 903 to 1397 of the family's 1533-position model. The record is from RNAcentral.
AAAUGAAUUGACGGGGGCCCGCACAAGCGGAGGAACAUGUGGUUUAAUUCGAUGAUACGCGAGGAACCUUACCCGGGCUUGAAAUGCAGAGGAAUGAGGAGGAAACUUCUCCGCCAGCAAUGGUCUCUGUGUAGGUGCUGCAUGGUUGUCGUCAGCUCGUGCCGUGAGGUGUCGGCUUAAGUGCCAUAACGAGCGCAACCCUUAUCAUUAGUUACUAACAGGUCACGCUGAGGACUCUAAUGAGACUGCCGCCGUAAGGUGUGAGGAAGGUGGGGAUGACGUCAAAUCAGCACGGCCCUUACGUCCGGGGCGACACACGUGUUACAAUGGGGAGUACAGAGGGUUGCUACCGCGCGAGCGGAUGCUAAUCUCAUAAAUCUUCUCUCAGUUCGGAUCGGAGUCUGCAACUCGACUCCGUGAAGCUGGAUUCGCUAGUAAUCGCGCAUCAGCCAUGGCGCGGUGAAUACGUUCCCGGGCCUUGUACACACCGCCCGU